CCCUUAGAUGUCCUGGGCUGCACGCGCGCUACACUGAUGUGUCCAGUAAGCACCUAACCUAUUCCGAGAGGAGCGGGUAACCUCAGCAAAGCACAUCGUGAUGGGGAUAGAUUAUUGCAAUUAUUAGUCUUGAACGAGGAAUUCCUAGUAAGCACAAGUCAUCAGCUUGUGUUGAUUACGUCCCUGCCCUUUGUACACACCGCCCGUCGCUCCUACCGAUUGAAUGUUCCGGUGAGCUCUUCGGACUGCGCGGUCUGCAGUUUCUGCGUUCCGUGCGGAAAGUUGUGCAAACCUUAACAUUUAGAGGAAGGAGAAGUCGUAACA
This 324-nucleotide ribosomal RNA is filed under the name uncultured eukaryote. Its description in RNAcentral is "partial 18S ribosomal RNA". It matches the Rfam family "Eukaryotic small subunit ribosomal RNA", at positions 1470 to 1796 of the family's 1831-position model. The record is from RNAcentral.